AGUGGUUAGGCACUUAGCUGCUAACCAAAAGGUUGGUGGUUCAAACCCACCAGCCACUC
RNAcentral lists this transfer RNA (59 nucleotides) under Loxodonta africana (African savanna elephant). It matches the Rfam family "tRNA". From Rfam's summary of the family: Transfer RNA (tRNA) molecules are approximately 80 nucleotides in length. Their secondary structure includes four short double-helical elements and three loops (D, anti-codon, and T loops). The record is from Rfam by way of RNAcentral. Lineage: Eukaryota; Metazoa; Chordata; Mammalia; Proboscidea; Elephantidae.